GCCGGGAUGGCGAAAUUGGCAGACGCGCACGUUUCAGGGGCGUGUGGGUUUUCCCAUGCGGGUUCGACCCCCGCUCCCGGCA
Molecule: transfer RNA, 82 nt
Filed under: Candidatus Omnitrophota bacterium
Lineage: Bacteria; Pseudomonadati; Candidatus Omnitrophota
Description: Candidatus Omnitrophica bacterium (sediment metagenome) tRNA-Leu
Rfam family: tRNA
About the family: Transfer RNA (tRNA) molecules are approximately 80 nucleotides in length. Their secondary structure includes four short double-helical elements and three loops (D, anti-codon, and T loops).
Source: RNAcentral